Long non-coding RNA from Piliocolobus tephrosceles (Ugandan red Colobus), 2516 nucleotides. The record is from Ensembl. Lineage: Eukaryota; Metazoa; Chordata; Mammalia; Primates; Cercopithecidae.
AAAAAUAAAAAAAGGAUGGAGCAGAAUUAUUUACAUUUCAGGGUAUCUUCUAUUCACACUGAAUUUUUUUCGGAUUGUUUUCGGUAAUGAAUUUAUUUUUAAUUUUUAAUUUUUUGUUUUUCACAUUUUAUACAUACAAGACAAUAAAAAAAAAAAAAUAGACACAUAUAUAUAUAUACAUAAAUUUGCAUACAUGGGAUCAUACAUGUUCUAAUUUUGAGUAAACGUGAAAGAAAUCACAGAUGUUGCCAUAAGCAUUAGUACAUGUUUUAGUAUAUGUCUUAGUAAAUGUCUUAGUAAAUGCCUUAGAACAUUCCUUAGUACAUUCCUUAGUACAAAUAUAUAUGCAAAAGUGGAUUGUUUUCUUAAAAUUGUUGAAAACUCAACAUUUGGAAUUUAUAAAAAACAAAGGAACGGUGCUUAUAAAUUUAAUUUUAUAAGUGCUUAAAUAAUACACAUGCGUGGGUAUAUAUAUAUAUUAUGGUAUUAUGUUGAUAUGAGCGAAUUUAAAUAAUUAAGUGGCAAAAAAAAAAAAAAAAAAAAAAAAAAAAAAAAAAAAAAAAAAAAAAAAAAAAAAAAAAAAAAAAAAAAAAAAAAAAAAAAAAAAGUGCCAUAGUUGCUCAAAAGCAAAAAUGGAUAUGAAUAACGAAGUAGUUAAACUGUUAAUGUGUGUGGGAAAUAAAAUUAACAAGAAUGCUGAAGAGCUAAAACCAUUUAUUAAAAUAAUAGUAAAUGAUAAUUGGCUAGACUCUUUAGAAAGUUUAAAAAAGUUAAGUGAUGAUGAAUGGAAUAUGUUAAAACUACCUUUACGUUUACAGGCUGAAAUAAGAAAGGAAUUAUUUAGUAGUACAACGGAAGAAAAAGAUGAAAAAAAUAAAAAAAAAUUUGGUAACAAGAAUGAUAAAUUAUGCCAAGUAAGAGAUAUUACUACAACCGAAUAUAGUCAGAAUAAAGAUAGGAGUAGUGGUAGUAGUAGAAGCGGUAGUAGUAGAAGCUGUAGUAGUAAUAGUAGUAACCGAGACCAUAGUUCAUUAAUCACAAAAGAAAGAAUUAGUACCUAUAACUAUAACAAUAGCUGUGAAAAAAAAAAAAUUAGUGUCCGUCCAAGUAUAGGAGACAAUAAAUAUACAAAUAAAAUAAAAAGCAAUAAUAAUAUAAAUACUAUUAAUGACAGUACAAACGUAACUGCAAAGGAAAAAAGUGUAAACUAUGCAAUAAUAACAUAUAAUAAAAAAGAUAUAGAGAAGUUAAUCAAUGAUGAUAGAACGAACAUCGAUAUGAUAAAAAAAGAAGAUAUUUUUCAUUUAUCUUAUGAAUCAAACCAUUUAGAAUCUAGUUAUUCGGAACAAACGAUAAGAUCUAUGAGUUGUGUAACUAUUGCAAGAAAAUUAAAACAUAUAAAUAUAGAAGAAUUAAAAACAAUUUUACCAAUUUUAAAUAAAAUUGUACAAAACAUUAUAAAUAAUCCUAAUAUGUUAAAUACUCGUAUUUUAAAAACAACUAAUUCGAUUAUGCAAAAUAAAUUAUUAAAACAUAAAGAAGCGAAAGAAUUUUUAUUAAGUAUAGGUUUUUCAGAGGUAUCUAUUUUUUACGUUAUGGAGAAUGUUGACACAUUUUUAUUAUUAUGUGUUCUUGAAGUAUUAGAUAAUAUAGCAAAGGAUUUAAAAAUAACAUUUACCCCUUUAAAAAAUACAUUUAAUCCUUUUAAAUUGUCUAUAACUUCUUUAAACGAAACAACUAAAAGGAGCAAAUUGAAUAAUAAUGAAGAAAUCGAUAAGUUACUAAAAGAAAAAAAAAAAGAAGCGGAACAAAUCAUGAAUCAGAAGGUAGAGUUAAAUCCAAAAAUAUAUAUACUUCAAAAAAGUACCAUUACCAGUGCCAGUAAUGACACAGGCAUUAACAAAACUAUUGAGAAUAAUAUAAACGUUGCUAAAAGAAGUAGCAUAAAUUCGUCAUUCGUUCAUGACAAAAAUGGUAGAAAUGACAAAAAUGGUAGAAAUGACAAAAAUGGUGAUAAUGACGAUAAUGAAGAUAGUGAAACAACUGCGGAAGACCUGAAGCAUCUUAUACCCAACAUAAAAAAUAUAUUUAAAGAACAAACAUUUAAGUCAAGAACAAAGUUGGAGUUAGAAAAAAUAAAUAAAACAAAAGUUUAUUCAAAGACUAUUUUAAAAAUAUUAUUUCCAGAUUCCUAUAUAUUGGAAAUGUCCUUUUCUACUGGUGCGUUUAUAAGACAUGUAAAUGAAUGCAUAAAAAAGUUUUUGAACAAAUCAAUCAUUUCACAAAAAUGGUACAUAUAUGAGACACCCCCCACUAGAAGAUUUGAAGAUCAUAAAAAAUUAUCGGAUUACAAUUUGUUUCCUCAUGCCUUGUUGCGAUUUAAAAUAGAUAAUGAAAAUGAAAAUCUUAUUGAAACAUCAUUUUUGUCGGAUGAAGCUAUUCAGAAAUACGGUUCUACUUGUGAAACAAGUUGAAAAAAAAAUAAAAAUAAAAAAAUGGCAAAGUGGGAGAAUAAA